Melopsittacus undulatus (budgerigar) is the source of this 1266-nucleotide long non-coding RNA. The record is from Ensembl. Lineage: Eukaryota; Metazoa; Chordata; Aves; Psittaciformes; Psittaculidae.
AUCCCAUAUAUCCCAUAUACCCCAUAUCCCAUAUAUCCCAUUACCCCCUUAUCCCAUAUCCCAUAUAUCCCAUAUCCCAUUAUCCUGUUAUCCCAUAUCCCUUAUCCCAUUAUCCCCUUACCCCAUUACCCCCAUUACCCCAUACUCCAUUAUCCCAUAUCCCAUAUAUCCCAUAUAUCCCAUAUCCCAUACCCCAUAUCCCAUACCCCAUACCCCAUACCCCAUACCCCAUAUCCCAUACCCCAUACCCCAUACCCCAUAUCCCAUAUCCCAUAUCCCAUACCCCAUAUCCCAUACCCCAUAUCCCAUACCCCAUAUCCCAUACCCCAUACCCCAUAUCCCAUACCCCAUAUCCCAUACCCCAUAUACCCCAUACCCCAUAUCCCAUAUCCCAUACCCCAUAUCCCAUAUCCCAUACCCCAUACCCCAUAUCCCAUAUCCCAUACCCCAUAUCCCACAUCCCAUACCCCAUAUCCCAUACCCCAUACCCCAUACCCCCCAUACCCCAUAUCCCAUACCCCAUAUCCCAUAUCCCAUACCCCAUAUCCCAUACCCCAUACCCCAUAUCCCAUAUACCCCAUAUCCCAUAUCCCAUAUCCCAUACCCCAUAUCCCAUAUCCCAUACCCCAUAUCCCAUACCCCAUACCCCAUACCCCAUAUCCCAUAUACCCCAUAUCCCAUACCCCAUACCCCAUACCCCAUAUCCCAUACCCCAUACCCCAUACCCCAUAUCCCAUACCCCAUACCCCAUAUACACCCCAUAUACACCCCAUAUACACCCCAUAUACAUCCCCUAUACCUUGUUGGUGGCCGCCCCAUAGAAGGCCACCCUGUCCCACGUGACCACCAUGACCCACGUGGGGACCAAGCCCCGCCCCACGGCCCGCAGGUCACGUGGCUCUCGGCUCUGCCGGAAGUAGACGUCACCCCCCAGGGUCGUGUCCACGUCCGACCAAUAGGGAGCGAGGGCGGGAGGAGCCUCAGCCAAUGGGAGAGCUCCGGGGGGAGGGGCCGGGAAGCCGCGGCCGAGGGAGAGGAGACCGUUGGUGGUGACCUGGGGGCAGAGGGAACACGUUGGGACGCGAUGACGUCAUCGGUGACGUCAGCGAUGACGUCAUCGGAGGAGCCUCUCCCCCUCCCCCCUAUUCGCAGCACUGGGGGGGGGAGGGGAAGAGGAAAUAAGGGAUUAAUCCAUUGGGUUUUGGGUAAAUUUCCCCCUUUUUUGGGGCUUUUCCCACUUUUUGCCCUUUUUCCCCUCUUUUUUUG